GACGAACGCUGGCGGCGUGCUUAACACAUGCAAGUCGAACGGAAAGGCCCUGCUUUUGUGGGGUGCUCGAGUCGCGAACGGGUGAGUAACACGUGAGUAACCUGCCCUUGCCUUUGGGAUAACUUCAGGAAACUGGGGCUAAUCCCGGAUAGGAGCUCCUGCUGCAUGGUGGGGGUUGGAAAGUUUCGGCGGUUGGGGAUGGACUCGCGGCUUAUCAGCUUGUUGGUGGGGUAGUGGCUUACCAAGGCUUUGACGGGUAGCCGGCCUGAGAGGGUGACCGGCCACAUUGGGACUGAGAUGCGGCCCAGACGCCUACGGGAGGCAGCAGUGGGGAAUAUUGCACAAUGGGCGGAAGCCUGAUGCAGCAACGCCGCGUGCGGGAUGACGGCCUUCGGGUUGUAAACCGCUUUCGCCUGUGACGAAGCGUGAGUGACGGUAAUGGGUAAAGAAGCACCGGCUAACUACGUG
Molecule: ribosomal RNA, 468 nt
Filed under: uncultured bacterium
Lineage: Bacteria
Description: partial 16S ribosomal RNA
Rfam family: Bacterial small subunit ribosomal RNA
Source: RNAcentral